This 334-nucleotide long non-coding RNA is filed under the name Amborella trichopoda. RNAcentral's name for it is "long non-coding RNA (ATRI_LNC002329)". Lineage: Eukaryota; Viridiplantae; Streptophyta; Magnoliopsida; Amborellales; Amborellaceae. The record is from RNAcentral.
CAAAGCACUAUCAAACUCGUGCUUUACUCUAAGUAAAUAGUUUGACCUUGCUACCACUGGCUUUCUUUGCUCGUUGCCACCUCUGCCAUAGGAGCGAAUGCUUUGAUGGCUACACAUCUUCUCGCAUGACAUAGGUUGCUCGUUGCUAGAGUGCUUUAUGAAAAAGAAAGAAAGAGAGAAUCGUUGAACGCUUCAACUUGGCUGGGCGAGAGACUGGGCCAACUUACUGCUGCCAUGCCAUGGUUGAAGCUUGAGGCUCCAUAGACCGAACUAUGUAUAAGGUCCUUUUUUUGGAGGGGAGGACACCGCUCAGCACCAACCAGUGCGGUUCAAU